CCUACGGGCGGCAGCAGUGAGGAAUAUUGGUCAAUGGGCGCGAGCCUGAACCAGCCAAGUAGCGUGAAGGAUGACUGCCCUACGGGUUGUAAACUUCUUUUAUAAAGGAAUAAAGUGAGGCACGUGUGCCUUUUUGUAUGUACUUUAUGAAUAAGGAUCGGCUAACUCCGUGCCAGCAGCCGCGGUAAUACGGAGGAUCCGAGCGUUAUCCGGAUUUAUUGGGUUUAAAGGGAGCGUAGAUGGGUUGUUAAGUCAGUUGUGAAAGUUUGCGGCUCAACCGUAAAAUUGCAAUUGAUACUGGCAGUCUUGAGUACAGUUGAGGUAGGCGGAAUUCCCGGUGUAGCGGUGAAAUGCGUAGAGAUCGGGAGGAACACCAGUGGCGAAGGCGGCCUACUGGGCUUUAACUGACGCUGAGGCACGAAAGCGUGGGUAGCAAACAGGAUUAGAUACCCCUGUAGUC
Molecule: ribosomal RNA, 460 nt
Filed under: uncultured bacterium
Lineage: Bacteria
Description: partial 16S ribosomal RNA
Rfam family: Bacterial small subunit ribosomal RNA
Source: RNAcentral